AGACUGGUUGAUCCUGCCAGUAAUAUACGCUUAACUCCAAGACUAAGCCAUGCAAGUGCAGUUCAGCUUACGCGAGACGACGGACGGCUCAGUAGGAUAGUUCCAAUGCGCGCAGGAGAGCGAACGGAUAACCGUGGGAAUCCAUGGCUAAACCGGGCAGACGGGGACACACGAGCAAAGGCGGUGGCCCAGAGGAAAGCCUGCAGCAGAGACUAGCCCAUCAACCUGGCGGUAGGGUAACGGCCUACGGAGGUGAUCACGGGUGCGGGGGAUCAGAGUCCGGUGCCGGAGAGGGGGCAUGCGAGGUGGCCACCAUGUCCAAGGACAGCAGCAGGCGCGCAAAUUACCCAAUCCUCGGAGGGAGGUAGUUCGGAGCCAUACGACGAAUGGAGACACGGCAAAAACGUGUCUGAGGAGCAACCGGAGGGCAAGUCUGGUGCCAGCAGCCGCGGUAAUUCCAGCUCCGGGAGUGUAUAGUAACAUUGAUGCAGUUAAAAGGUCCGCAGUCCGCACGCGCACCACUGAGCAAAGGGGAGUGUUUGCAGGACACCAGGCCGCAUUGCACGCGCCGCACACGAGCAGCGGGGGCCGGGCGGACCAGCGCGGGAGGAGUGAAACCCGGGGAUCGCACUGGGACGGACCGAGGCGAAGGCGCCCGGCAGCGGUGUUUCGGAUGACGAUGGACGAAGCCUGGGGGAGCGAAGAUGAUUAGAUACCGUCGUAGUCCCAGGAGUAAACGCAGCCGCGGGCGAUGGGGACACUCUGUCGCCGGCCGAAAGGACGCGGUUCUGGGGGGAGUAUGGUCGCAAGGCUGGAACUUGAAGGAAUUGACGGAAGGGCACCACCAGGAGUGGAGUCUGCGGCUUAAUUUGACUCAACACGGGGAAUCCUACCAGCGGGGGACACGGGGACGAGCCCACGGGCGAUUCCGUGGCGGGUGGUGCAUGGCCGUUGUUGGUUGGUGGGGCGACCAGUCAGGUUGAUUCCGGUAACGAGCGAGGCCGGCGUGGCACCCACUGCUCUACACGUGGGUGCAGAGACUGCCUGUGCAAGCAGGAGGAGGGGCCGGCGAUAACAGGUCUGAGAUGCCCCCAGAUGCGCUGGGCCGCACGCGGACUACAGUGCAGCCGGCACGCACACAGCAACACAGGCGGCUGCGUGGAGGGGAUUGCAGGCUGCAACGCCUGCAUGAACGAGGAAUUCCUAGUAGGCGCGUUUCAGCACAGCGCGCCGACUGUGUCCCUGCCCUUUGUACACACCGCCCGUCGAUACUACCGAUGUGGGCUGGCGCAAGCGUGCGCGCAAGUGUCUGUCCAUAGAGGAAGUAAAAGUCGUAACAAGGUUUCCGUAGGUGAACCUGCGGAAGGAUUGACAU
RNAcentral lists this ribosomal RNA (1375 nucleotides) under Amphiamblys sp. WSBS2011. Its description in RNAcentral is "18S small subunit ribosomal RNA". It matches the Rfam family "Eukaryotic small subunit ribosomal RNA". Lineage: Eukaryota; Fungi; Microsporidia; Amphiacanthidae. The record is from RNAcentral.